AUUGAACGCUGGCGGAAUGCUUUACACAUGCAAGUCGAACGGUAGAGGGGGCAACCCCUUGAGAGUGGCGAACGGGUGAGUAAUAUAUCGGAACGUGCCCAGUCGUGGGGGAUAACGUAGCGAAAGUUACGCUAAUACCGCAUACGAUCUAAGGAUGAAAGCGGGGGAUCGCAAGACCUCGCGCGACUGGAGCGGCCGAUAUCAGAUUAGGUAGUUGGUAGGGUAAAGGCCUACCAAGCCAACGAUCUGUAGCUGGUCUGAGAGGACGACCAGCCACACUGGAACUGAGACACGGUCCAGACUCCUACGGGAGGCAGCAGUGGGGAAUUUUGGACAAUGGGCGAAAGCCUGAUCCAGCCAUUCCGCGUGCAGGAUGAAGGCCCUCGGGUUGUAAACUGCUUUUGUACAGAACGAAAAGGUUUCUAUUAAUAAUAGGAGCUCAUGACGGUACUGUAAGAAUAAGCACCGGCUAACUACGUGCCAGCAGCCGCGGUAAUACGUAGGGUGCAAGCGUUAAUCGGAAUUACUGGGCGUAAAGCGUGCGCAGGCGGUUAUAUAAGUCAGAUGUGAAAUCCCCGGGCUCAACCUGGGAACUGCAUUUGAGACUGUAUAGCUAGAGUACGGUAGAGGGGGAUGGAAUUCCGCGUGUAGCAGUGAAAUGCGUAGAUAUGCGGAGGAACACCGAUGGCGAAGGCAAUCCCC
Molecule: ribosomal RNA, 702 nt
Filed under: Pseudomonadota bacterium
Lineage: Bacteria; Pseudomonadati; Pseudomonadota
Description: bacterial SSU rRNA
Rfam family: Bacterial small subunit ribosomal RNA
Source: RNAcentral